AUUAAAGUUGUUGCAGUUAAAAAGCUCGUAGUUGGAUUUCUGGUUUGACAUGCCUGGCCCGCCACGGUUACGAGUGUGAGUGCCGGCGCGUGUCUGCCAUCCUUCUGGAAAACGUGUCUACCCUUCACUGGGCCGGAUACGCGAUCCAGAUCAUUUACUUUGAAAAAAUUAGAGUGUUUAAAGCAGGCUUUUUGCUAUGUAUACAUUAGCAUGGAAUAAUAAUUUAGGACUUUGGCCCUAUUUUGUUGGUUUCUAGGACUGAAGUAAUGAUUGAUAGGGAUAGUUGGGGGUGCUCGAAUUCAGCGGCCAGAGGUGAAAUUCUUGGAUUCGCUGAAGACGAACUCAUGCGAAAGCAUUCACCAAGGAUGUCUUCUUUAAUCAAGAACGAAAGUUGGGGGAUCGAAGACGAUCAGAUACCGUCGUAGUCUCAACCAUAAACUAUGCCGACUAGGGAUCAGCGAACGUUGAAUUUUUGACUUCGUUGGCACCUUAUGAGAAAUCAAAGUCUUUGGGUUCCGGGGGAGUAUGGUCGCAAGGCUGAAACUUAAAGGAAUUGACGGAAGGGCACCACCAGGAGUGGAGCCUGCGGCUUAAUUUGACCAACACGGGAAAACUUACCAGGUCCGGACAUAGUGAGGAUUGACAGAUUGAAGAUCUUUCUUGAUUCUAUGGGUGGUGGUGCAUGGCCGUUCUUAGUUGGUGGAGUGAUUUGUCUGGUUAAUUCCGUUAACGAACGAGACCUCGACCUGCUAAAUAGUUUCAUAAAUCCUUCGGGAUUUGCUGUAGACUUCUUAGAGGGACUAUCGGUGUGUAGCCGAUGGAAGUUCGAGGCAAUAACAGGUCUGUGAUGCCCUUAGAUGCCCUGGGCCGCACGCGCGCUACACUGAUGCGUUCAUCGAGCUUACAACCUUGACUGAAAGGUCUGGGUAAUCUUUUGAAAUCGCAUCGUGCUGGGGAUAGAUGAUUGUAAUUAUUCAUCUUCAACGAGGAAUUCCUAGUAAACGCAAGUCAUUAGCUUGCAUUGAUUACGUCCCUGCCCUUUGUACACACCGCCCGUCGCUGCUACCGAUUGAGCGAUUUGAUGAACCUCAGGGACUGCUGCUCUUGGUUGGGUUUCCUUCCUUGGGUUGGCGGGAACUGAUGUGAAUCUACUCGCUUAGAGGAAGCAAAAGUCGUAACAAGGUUUCCGUAGGUGAACCUGCGGAAG
This 1207-nucleotide ribosomal RNA is filed under the name metagenome. Its description in RNAcentral is "SSU rRNA". It matches the Rfam family "Eukaryotic small subunit ribosomal RNA", at positions 603 to 1823 of the family's 1831-position model. The record is from RNAcentral.